UACGAGGGGCCCGAGCGGUAUUCGGAAUCACUGGGCUUAAAGCGUGCGCAGGCGGGCCGGUAGGCGUCUUGUGAAAUCCCGCGGCUCAACCGAGGAAUUGCAGGGCGAACCCCCGGCCUUGAGGCGAGUAGGGGCAGACGGAACCAUGCGUGGAGCGGUGAAAUGCGUAGAUAUGCAUGGGAACGCAGAUGGGGAAGCCAGUCUGCUGGGCUCGUCCUGACGCUCAUGCACGAAAGCGUGGGGAGCAAACAGG
Molecule: ribosomal RNA, 253 nt
Filed under: uncultured bacterium
Lineage: Bacteria
Description: partial 16S ribosomal RNA
Rfam family: Bacterial small subunit ribosomal RNA
Source: RNAcentral